Long non-coding RNA from Monopterus albus (swamp eel), 4699 nucleotides. RefSeq lists it as uncharacterized. The transcript is spliced from 7 exons. The record is from RefSeq and is a predicted model, not a curated record. Lineage: Eukaryota; Metazoa; Chordata; Actinopteri; Synbranchiformes; Synbranchidae.
AUUGGUUAGGUCACGGUUGAGUCGGAUUAAGCAUCAUAAGACACGACUGGUUAAAUGUUAGGGCGAAAGUUCGGUUCAGAGUAAGGUCUGAGAGUCAAAGUUGUUGUCUGAGUCUACAGUUUGACUACAGCAGAAUUCUAACUCCCAGAUUCCUCCUGGGCUGAGAAACAUCAACAAAGACCCCAAGAGACACCAAAGAAAGGGGCUCAGCCAGCAGCACUGGAGUUCAAGAGGAGUGCACCAUCCAGCAGGCAGCAUGCACCAGCAUAGAAAGGCCUGUUGAGCUAGUGUCUGACAAAAACGAUUCAAACUGCAAUUAAAAAGGAGAUCCAUAGUUUCUUGCAGCCUGUUUUGCCUUCAUGCCUUUGACGCUGGAGUGUGUCCACCCAAAUGGUCUGGCUGCCACUUCAUAACAGCUCUAUUGUGAGGCGUUCCACAUCCAAACUGCAGUGUGGAGAAUGUUAAGUGUAGAGAGCUGAUGGUGAACUAGGAGGAAGAUGUCAUGCUUAGGAUGGGUUUUGGUGAUGAUGUUGCUGCUGUUGAUGCAGCAUCGAGCUCUCACUUUGUGCCUCUGUCAGCUAUGAUGCGUAACCACAGAGUGAGUGACAGGCCAGUCCUCAGGGAGAGCAGGGGGCCUGAGGUAAGUCAGAUGUAUCCUUGACCCUGUCUGGCUGUGUGUCAGCAAGCAACUCAAACUGGGUAAAAAGGGCCACAACUGGCAUGACUGUACAUUGUACAUCUUAAUUUUGCAUGUAGAAGAAGAAUGUUAGAGACACUUUCAGAAACACCAAGAGAAACAAGCUUCUUGACUGCUCAAGAGGUUUUCAUUGCCUAGACCUUCCCUCAACUUAUGAAAUCAUAAUGCAGCAUAGUAUUAUAUCACGACUGAUACCUUUUAUCCCUUUGCAUGUUUUUGUAUGUCCACCACAGGUACUGAUUGUUGUACUACUGUCUUUGUGAUAUUGUUAUGAAUGAACUCAGUACUGAUUUUGGUAGAUAUUCGACAUUUCACUGUUAAAUAUCUGUUGUAACUUCAUUGCGUUACAUAUCUGUGACACACUGUGCAAUUACAACUUGAUUUUAGAGCUUGUUCAUUAUGAAGGUUUAAUGUUCCUGCAUAUAUGUAUUUUAGCUUAGAUUUUUCUUGGAGCUCUUGGAGGUAAACGGCACAAGAAGGUAGGUCCCCAUAAAAUAUUUAGUGCCUAUUAGUCAGAAAUGUCAAGCAGAAAUUUGAGAAAGCUUUUAUUACAAGACUAACGAAUCAUUACUGUCACACCAUAAAGCAACUCCAACCAUAAAUGGUACAAUAAUUGAGGGUGAUUGAACUAUUCAGAUAACUUGUGUUUAGAAUAAAAGUUUGGAAAAAUGUUAAAUACACACCUGGGCAUAUCUUGUUGAAAUCAGAGCUUAUUUAAAUGUAUUCAGCCCAGAUAAUCGAGAAAUUUGUGAAGAAAUUCUGCAUUGUGCAUCACUGCGCUUGUUAUUGAUUUGCCAUAUUUCUUUUUAUAUGGGAAAGAACAAACUGAGAUGGUAUGAAUUUUACACACAAUAGUCCUUACAUUAUAAUUGUACUUGUGCAAAAACUGUAAGUUGAUUUGUUAAGUUAUGCAGAGAAAUAUAAUCAAUUAAGUAUUCUUAACUGUUCUGAUUAUCGAUAAAGUGAAGCUGCCAAACACUUGCUUCUCUUCACCGUUAUGUCAUUGUAAAAGAAAUCUCAUGCACUGGGAAACUGAAAUGAACAUUGUUAGUGUUUCCUGUAAUGUUUUUGACUAAUUAAUUAAUUGAUGAAGAAUGUAUAAAGAUUUAGUCAGUAAUGAAAGUAAGUUAAAAAUGUACAGAAUCUGUGUUUCAUAUGUUCAGUUAAAUAUGAAUCAUUUUGUUGCACCCAGUUUGGGUUUUAGUUUCUAAAGUGCUUGUUGUGAGCUCUUGCCUAAGAAUUUCUGUCAUUGUUAAAGCCGCAGUUAAUGUUGUAUCAUAUGCAGGCUGUAAAAAAAUCAUGACUGAACCCGAAGUGUAACUGAAACAACUGAUGCAACCUGUAACACAGUAUAACACAAGCUGAUUCUUUACAACUCUUGUUAACUCUUUGUGAACAAGUAUUUACUAUAGUGUUUUUGCAUGAUUGUGUCCAAAAAAAAGUGUAAUUUUUGAUGCGCAUCCUCGAUUUAGCUGAUGUAAGGAAGAAGCACUACCAAUCAAACCAGGUUAUGAUCAACUUUGGGAAAUUAAAUGCAAGAUUUCAUGUUUUAUUUCAGUCUUGUUAAGCAGCAGACUUCUACUCUGAUAUGGUAUCUACAUGGGAAGAGCCACAUCACUGUGUUUUCUCCUGAAUUUCAUUAAGUGAACAAAAAGAAUCUUUAGUGCAAAGUCUUGCAUCUUUUUUCGAGGGUCACUCAAACACAGUGUGUGAAAUGAGAGUUGCCUGGGUGUGACUUUUUCGGAAAGUAUCCGUUUGCUAUUGUCUGCCUAGUCAACUUCUGCAGGCCCCAGUGCCCUGACUUCCAUACAUGAGAGAUCAAGGGUUACCAAGGUGCUUUUGAGAAAGGACUCAGUGUGAGAGGGGACAAACCAGUCCACAAAAUACUCAUUUCCUUUGCAUGUUAGGUGCUCCACUGGGGAGUCAGAUAGGGUCACCGACACAGCUACUGGGAAUGAGUUUUUUUUCCAUCGUUGUUCUUAAUGAAAACUGUAUCUUGCCUUUCCAGUGGCUUGUGACUACUAACUGCAGCCUGUACAGUAUGGUGCUCGAUAAUAUGCUGAAUUUGCCCCAAAGAAAGUUUGUUCACACUGUGGCUGUUUAUUCGGUGCCGGACAGAGGUGCCUCGUGUAGAGAAGGUAAAAGUAGUUCAGUCCACCUCUCAUUCUUUCCAAAAAGUUCAGUCACUGAGCCACGGCAUUAACUUGUAUUCUAACAAGAUUAAAAUAUAUUCGUCCUGGGGAUUAGCAUAGUUAGGUGUCCUUUUGCCUCUUUUUUUUAUUUUUUUGUUCCUGCACUGGUGCGGUGACAGUGGGCUUUGAUCUGUGUUGCGAGGCAAGAGUCCUAGCUUGGACCUAGCCAUUCGAGUGCCAAGUGUGAAAUUGGCCUGAUGUCAUCCCCAUUCUUCACCUUUUACAUCUUUCACCACUUUAAUUAUGUUUCUGCCACAAAGCCCGGGCACCUCUGAGCAGAUUCCACUCUGGCUGGAGGAAGCAUUUAGAAACUGGGGGUAAAUGACACAGUAGGGGAGGGGGAGGAUGGUAGGAGAGGUCAAAGCAGGAUGGGGCCCUUUUGUAUUUAAAAGCAGACAUUGAUACUUUCUUGAUGAGUCCUGCACUUACUGAAUUUUUACAGCAUAACGUGUCAGCUAUACAGACCAUAACUUCAAUUGCAAGCAUUUUUACAGUAUCCACAAGAUGAUUAUUUCAGUGUUUUCUUCCCAGAUUGCUAAUUAUUUAUAUUAUUUUCUUGAUAGCAAUGGAAGUCUUUUCAGUUGUAGUUAAUUCCUAAAACAGUGACUAGUUGAGAUCACUAUACCAUCUGAAUAUCACUUCCAGACAUGAGAAAAAUAGUCAAAUAAAAGUGUUUGUUCUAGGACAAUGUCACAAAUGCAGCUGCACGUUUCAGUUUAAGCUGUUAUUCAUGCAUUGGUGUCCCUAUCUGAACUUCAGGGAGCUUCUCUGCCUGUGAAUAUGUUGAUGGUUACUACUGAAGCACUGACCGAAGGACCAAAACAGCAAAGAUAUUUGCGUGUGAGGAGGAACUGAAAUGAAUGAGAUGUGUUGGUGUGCGUGCGUGUGUGUGUACGCGUGCGUCUCAGGCAAGAAUAAAAUACAGCCAAGUGCUAAUAUGAGAGUGAGUUAGUCAGUGAGAAGGCAGUGUGUGGAGAAUGGGUUACUGCAGGGCGGGAGAGGGGAAACCAGCCACCUGCAGCCAUGACAGGCUUUGACCUUCAUUGCUCUCUCUCCCUUGCUCUAUCUCUCUCGCCCCCUCCCUCUCUCUCACUCUCUCCUUUUGACUCCCAUUUCUGCCUUGUGAUAGAAGCACAGGCUCUUUUCAGAUGCGGUGAGGAAGACUGACCAUCGUGAAGACAGAGCUGGGAGCAGCCCUGUCUGCUCUAAUGCUAGCCACUGGCCGCUAGCGUUCAAAGACUAGUGGUGCAAGUAUGGAAAUGCAGAUAAGGCAUUGUUGAGGAAACAUGCCUGGGAAUUGUUCAAGGCUUUCCCUUGCAUAAUGUUGGAUGCAUGUGCAAAUGUUUUAAUCUGGAAACGUGAAUUUGAUUCUCCGUGAAACUCAUCCUGAACCACCCAUGGAAUGAGUGGGUGUUUGUGAUGCUAUUCAUAUUAAGUGUUAGUGAACAUUUGACAUCUGGCAGCAUUUAUUUAAAACAAUUAUUGGAUGCAUUUCUCUUCCUGGUAAUUGUAGCUAGUGAGGUUUAUUUUUUUUUUCAUACUCAGAAGCACAGCAUACAUUGAAGGUCAAAUUUCACCACUUUAGCCAGACCUCAGUUAUUUUUUUUCUUCUGUUUUGGAGUAAUAUAUCAACCCUAUGCUUUGUAUAGACAUGGCAGAAACCUGUUUGUGUAUAAUCUUCAAGGUUUAUUUACUCUUCUUUUUCAGUUUUCAGGAGGCAGUUAAUUACACAAUUAAUACAUGAUACAAAUUAUGUACAUUUAUACCAAAGAAUACUUCCCAACAUAAAAUAAAAAUAGCAUUGUACUGU